This is a long non-coding RNA of Trachemys scripta elegans, 1025 nucleotides long. RefSeq lists it as uncharacterized. NCBI's taxonomy places the organism in Eukaryota, Metazoa, Chordata, Testudines, Emydidae. The transcript has 2 exons. The record is from RefSeq and is a predicted model, not a curated record.
UGAAAGAUUUUGGCAAACAACUAUUUUUCAUUGCUCGGCUUCAAGGGAAAAUACGAAGAGGGCUCCUCCCACCCCACUGAAGGGUAAGGGAAAUUAGAUCUGAAUGCAGAGAGGCCAGGCCAAAUAGACUGUUGCCUCACCUGCCUCAUUAAGGGAAAAUGGGAUUGUUUUCCCAGUGGAGUGCACUAUCUUGCAGGGACUGCAGGGGUGUGGCUAGGAGUAACGGAAUUAAUUAACAUAAAGGGCAAUUUAGAUGACUAUCAGAAACAUCUUCUGGACAGCGAGCCGUGUUAGGCUGGGCAUAAUCUCCCAUGGGAAAUGGCAAAAGCCCCAUCACUUGGGACAUUUAAAACUACACUGGGGACAACACUAAACAAAAAUGGUACAACAGGACAACCCUGCACUAGCAGGAGAUGGAUUUGAUGAUAAGCAGGUUCUAUAGGAUCAAGGAAUCUGGCCAUUGAAGGAUUGUCAAUCUGGCAAGGGACUAUGGGAUCAAGUGGCUGUGGGAUACAGCCACACCAGUGCAAUUUCUCUCUCUGCAGAAGCCCCUGGCAGGCAAAACUCCAGAGAUCGGCACAAUCCAGCAUAUUUCCUCUGUCUGGGGAACACUGGAUUCACUGAUCUGCCCCCACCCACGUGCUUGCCCUCUGUACAGGAGCCCUGUGGUCUUUGGAGAUCUGGCCUUGAUAAUGCUUUCAGCUGCAAUGGGCUGUAGAGAAGCUAAGGAAAAAUGAAGAAAAAAAUCUGCAGAUGAAAGUCUGAGGCUGUGUUUUCCUUUCCAAAGCACUGCCACAUUCCUAUAAGCCUGUGGCUUCCUGCAUCCUGCUGGAGUUUUUCUUUCCCUUCUUUUUUUCUUAAAUCUUUUCUGUGAUAUCUUAAGAGGAAAAUGUCCAGUACUAACAGGGGGCCUUUUGUUCUCUUUAUUUCUAAGUGGACUUUAACCCAGUUACUACAGACUGAGUCACUGUAUAAACAAAUAAAAUAAAACUUCUUCUGUUAUGUCCCUCUGGACAGGUCGGGGA